RNAcentral lists this ribosomal RNA (253 nucleotides) under uncultured bacterium. RNAcentral's name for it is "partial 16S ribosomal RNA". It matches the Rfam family "Bacterial small subunit ribosomal RNA", at positions 524 to 776 of the family's 1533-position model. The record is from RNAcentral.
UACGUAGGGGGCAAGCGUUGUCCGGAUUUAUUGGGCGUAAAGAGCGUGUAGGCGGUCAGGUAGGUCCGUUGUGAAAACUCGAGGCUCAACCUCGAGACGCCGAUGGAAACCAUCUGACUAGAGUCCGGAAGAGGAGAGUGGAAUUCCUGGUGUAGCGGUGAAAUGCGCAGAUAUCGGGAGGAACACCAAUGGCGAAGGCAGCUCGCUGGGACGUUACUGACGCUGAGACGCGAAAGCGUGGGGAGCAAACAGG